UUGCCAAUGAUGGUUAAGAAUUUCUUCACCUGAAUCAGCCGUGUGGUCAUUCUGUGUCUGAGGCAAA
This is a small nucleolar RNA of Alexandromys fortis (reed vole), 67 nucleotides long. Lineage: Eukaryota; Metazoa; Chordata; Mammalia; Rodentia; Cricetidae. The record is from RefSeq and is a predicted model, not a curated record.